This 465-nucleotide ribosomal RNA is filed under the name Vreelandella stevensii. RNAcentral describes it as "partial 16S ribosomal RNA". It matches the Rfam family "Bacterial small subunit ribosomal RNA", at positions 338 to 795 of the family's 1533-position model. Lineage: Bacteria; Pseudomonadati; Pseudomonadota; Gammaproteobacteria; Oceanospirillales; Halomonadaceae. The record is from RNAcentral.
CCUACGGGUGGCAGCAGUGGGGAAUAUUGGACAAUGGGCGAAAGCCUGAUCCAGCCAUGCCGCGUGUGUGAAGAAGGCCUUCGGGUUGUAAAGCACUUUCAGUGGGGAAGAAAGCCUUGGGGCUAAUACCCUCGAGGAAGGACAUCACCCACAGAAGAAGCACCGGCUAACUCCGUGCCAGCAGCCGCGGUAAUACGGAGGGUGCGAGCGUUAAUCGGAAUUACUGGGCGUAAAGCGCGCGUAGGCGGUCUGAUAAGCCGGUUGUGAAAGCCCCGGGCUCAACCUGGGAACGGCAUCCAGAACUGUCAGGCUAGAGUGCAGGAGAGGAAGGUAGAAUUCCCGGUGUAGCGGUGAAAUGCGUAGAGAUCGGGAGGAAUACCAGUGGCGAAGGCGGCCUUCUGGACUGACACUGACGCUGAGGUGCGAAAGCGUGGGUAGCAAACAGGAUUAGAUACCCCAGUAGUC